CCCUUAGAUGUUCUGGGCCGCACGCGCGCUACACUGAUGCAUUCAACGAGUUUAUAACCUUGGCCGAGAGGCCUGGGCAAUCUUUUGAACGUGCAUCGUGAUAGGGAUAGAUUAUUGCAAUUAUUAAUCUUGAACGAGGAAUUCCUAGUAAACGCAGUUCAUCAAACUGCAUUGAUUACGUCCCUGCCCUUUGUACACACCGCCCGUCGCACCUACCGAUUGAAUGGUCCGGUGAAGCCUCGGGAUUGUGGCUGGUUUCCUUUAUUGGAGGUCGGUUGCGUCCGACUGCUGAAACUUGAUUAAACCAUAUCAUUUAGAGGAAGGUGAAGUCGUAACA
RNAcentral lists this ribosomal RNA (337 nucleotides) under uncultured eukaryote. Its description in RNAcentral is "partial 18S ribosomal RNA". It matches the Rfam family "Eukaryotic small subunit ribosomal RNA", at positions 1470 to 1796 of the family's 1831-position model. The record is from RNAcentral.